Cylas formicarius (sweet potato weevil) is the source of this 2119-nucleotide long non-coding RNA. RefSeq lists it as uncharacterized. The transcript is spliced from 3 exons. The record is from RefSeq and is a predicted model, not a curated record. Lineage: Eukaryota; Metazoa; Arthropoda; Insecta; Coleoptera; Brentidae.
UCAAAGUUAUCGGAAAAUUUCGUAUUGAAUAAUUACAGAAAUUUUGUAUAGUGUUUCUCGUUAAACAAUUAAUCCACUUGAGGUAAAUUUUGGGUGUAUAAGUUUAGGCAUGGUAUAAGGGCACCUACUGGUCCAUCUAUCCUCCGCUUUUAGGAGAGACGGGCCAGCGGGGUAUAGGAGAGAUGGACCUAUUUUUCUUGUUUCAGAAUAAUGUCUAAUCGAUACACCCGCAAGCGCAAGGUUGAGAAGAGGGUCUGCAGACGAUUUAUCUUCUGCCAUUAAGAAGCAAACUCAUUUGGUAUUCCAAAAACAAUUUUUAAACGCAGACUUGCAAGUAGUAACCUAAAUAAAACCGACUGUUUGGGCCUGGGAGCGUGCUUGGUAGAGAAGUAGAGGCGAAACUCGCUGCCCAUAUAAAAAAAUUACAAAAAAGAGGCUUCGCACCGACUAGACAGGAAGUACGCAUAACGGCCUACAAUUUAGUUGAACGUCUCGGAAUUCAACAUAAAUUUGAUGGCGAAGAUGGUAAAGCUGGUUACGUAUGACUGAAUUCUUUUUUAAGGCGGAAUUCAGACAUUGGAGUUCGCAAAGCUGAAGGUUGAGCGCCGGGUAUGUGUAAAGAUAUUCUAGGCAAAUAUUUCAGUGUGCUUGAGAAUGUACUCUCUGAGACACUGAGAAUGGUUUGUAUGUUUAAAAUAUAGAGACAGGUCUACAGUUAAACACCCGAGCUGGGCUGGUGCUGACUGAAAGAGGAUCUAAAAGUGUACCUUCAAUUAGCCCUAGUGAAUAAGAGGAAACGAUUACUAUAGUUGCUUUCUGUAACGCAGAAGGGGUUUAUUUAUCUCCUUACUGCGUGUUUAAGGGAAAAAGUUCUAAAGCGGAAUGGUCUGAUGGAAUGCAACCCGGCUCACGUGUACGUAUGUCAGAAAAGUCAGCACAUGUGACGUCAGACAUUUUCUUGGAUUGGCUACAAAAUCACGUCUACCCAAGAAAAGCAUCCGGAAAGGUUUCACUCAUUGUAGACGGACACACUUCUCCCACGCCUAACCCCAAGACAUUACAAUUCGCAGAGGGCAAUGACAUUAUUUUAUUUUGCGGUCCAUCGGGCCUUCUUCGAGGGCCUUAAAGGGCAUUAUUACGGUUCAUGCAGGAGAAUGAUCAAAUGUAUAGGAGGCUAAAUCGGUUGCAGUUCGGCAAACUUUUAAGGGAGGCCUGGGGCAAAUCGGCUACAGUAACUAAUGCUGUAUAGGCCUUUCGGGCAACAGGAAUUUGGCCUUACACUCUGGAUGAAACACCUGAUCAUGCUUUUUUCACGCAGACACCAGACGAGGCUACGCUAAAUCCAACAAACGAAUUUGAGCAACAAGCUGGCAUCGCAGAACUAUCCCCUGAAACUUCUUCGCAAGAAAUGUAUACCCAAACCCUUCCUCGGGGACGUGAUUCCCCUCAACCAGGCCCUUCCAAAAUGCAGUUAGAACGUGAGGUUUUCAAAUAACCUCCUAAAGGAAAACUAACACCUGGAAAACUACUUCAGCAGGUCUCUCCUGUUCCUAAUAUAACAUCAACUAUGAAGAAGGCUCGAACUAGCCUAAUGGGGAACUUAACUUCACCAACUCAGAUGACUCGUAUUCGCCAGAAGAAACAAAGACAAAAACAAACACCUCAGCCAUCUGAAUCUGAUGAAGAUGUAAGCGUGGAUGAUUCGUCUAGUGGAGAAAAGGAGGACUGGUUGUAAUGCGUUCUGUGUACUAGAUGGUUAUAUGAAUUCUGCACAUCCUACACCAGCACAUGCCAACUAUGUGGUGCCUCCUCAAAUAUGAAAAAGGGAAAAAGGAAUUAAAUUAGUUUACGGUCCAUCUCUCCUAUAGUCGGUGGUUCAUCUCUCUUUCACGUUCUAGGAAAGAUUUUUACAUUUUUAUUAUUUUAUUUUUUAUAAUUAUUCAUUGUGUUAGAUUAGCCUUUAAAAUGCGCUAAAUAAAUAACCAAAGCUUGGAAUAAAUAAAAAACUUUUUGAAAGUUUUUCAAAAGGUGGGCCAUCUCUCCUCGAUUUACUCUAUAAUUAUAUUCUUGUUCUUUUAUGGAUAUAUACGUGCUAAUGCUUUUGGUGUUUUGAGUAUGC